Non-coding RNA from Gossypium raimondii (Peruvian cotton), 145 nucleotides. Lineage: Eukaryota; Viridiplantae; Streptophyta; Magnoliopsida; Malvales; Malvaceae. The record is from Rfam.
UGUUAAAAAUUUCAUCUAUUUUUAUUAUUAAAAAUUAGCGUGAUUGAUGGAAUAACCAAAUAGUUACACGUGACGUACCACGUUUACCUUGUUCUAGCGUAAAGAGACCGAUUUUUAAUAGUAAAAAUAGAUAAAAUUUUUAAUA